Molecule: ribosomal RNA, 853 nt
Filed under: marine metagenome
Description: bacterial SSU rRNA
Rfam family: Bacterial small subunit ribosomal RNA
Source: RNAcentral
AUGACUGUACCCGAAUAAGAAGGUCCGGCUAACUUCGUGCCAGCAGCCGCGGUAAUACGAAGGGACCUAGCGUAGUUCGGAAUUACUGGGCUUAAAGAGUUCGUAGGUGGUUGAAAAAGUUAGUGGUGAAAUCCCAGAGCUUAACUCUGGAACUGCCAUUAAAACUUUUCAGCUAGAGUAUGAUAGAGGAAAGCAGAAUUUCUAGUGUAGAGGUGAAAUUCGUAGAUAUUAGAAAGAAUACCAAUUGCGAAGGCAGCUUUCUGGAUCAUUACUGACACUGAGGAACGAAAGCAUGGGUAGCGAAGAGGAUUAGAUACCCUCGUAGUCCAUGCCGUAAACGAUGUGUGUUAGACGUUGGAAAUUUAUUUUCAGUGUCGCAGCGAAAGCGAUAAACACACCGCCUGGGGAGUACGACCGCAAGGUUAAAACUCAAAUGAAUUGACGGGGACCCGCACAAGUAGUGGAGCAUGUGGUUUAAUUCGAAGAUACGCGCAGAACCUUACCAACACUUGACAUGUUCGUCGCGACUCUAAGAGAUUAGAGUUUUCGGUUCGGCCGGACGAAACACAGGUGCUGCAUGGCUGUCGUCAGCUCGUGUCGUGAGAUGUUGGGUUAAGUCCCGCAACGAGCGCAACCCUCACUUUUAGUUGCCAUCAUUAAGUUGGGCACUCUGAAAGAACUGCCAGUGAUAAGCUGGAGGAAGGUGGGGAUGACGUCAAGUCCUCAUGGCCCUUACGUGUUGGGCUACACACGUGCUACAAUGGUAUCUACAACAGGAAGCAAGACUGCGAGGUCAAGCAAAUCCUUAAAAGAUACCUCAGUUCGGAUUGCACUCUGCAACUCGAGUGCAUGA